CCUACGGGAGGCAGCAGUCGAGAAUCUUGGGCAAUGCACGAAAGUGUGACCCAGCGACGCCGCGUGAAGGAUGAAGGCCCUCUGGGUUGUAAACUUCUUUUACGGGAGAAGAAUAAAUGACGGUAUCCCGUGAAUAAGCCACGGCUAACUACGUGCCAGCAGCCGCGGUAAUACGUAGGUGGCAAGCGUUGUCCGGAUUUACUGGGCGUAAAGCGAACGCAGGCGGAUUGUUAAGUAGAAAGUGAAAGGUCGGAGCUCAACUCCAACAUUGCUUUCUAUACUGGCUAUCUUGAGUAGCGGAGAGGAAGGGGGAACGACGCGUGUAGCGGUGAAAUGCGUUGAUAUGUGUCGGAACACCCAUGGCGAAAGCACCCUUCUGGACGCAAACUGACGCUCAUGUUCGAAAGCCAAGGUAGCGAACAGGAUUAGAUACCCUGGUAGUCUUGGCCCUAAACUAUGUUCACUAGGUGUCGGGGGGUUUCCCUCGGUGCCGCAGCUAACGCAUUAAGUGAACCGCCUGGGGACUACGGCCGCAAGGUUGAAACUCAAAGGAAUUGGCGGGGGCCCGCACAAGCGGUGGAGCAUAUGGCUUAAUUCGAUGCAACGCGAAGAACCUUACCAGGGCUUGACAUCAGGGGAAAACCUACAGAGAUGUAGGGUCCGUAAGGGCCCCUGACAGGUGGUGCAUGGCUGUCGUCAGCUCGUGCCGUGAGGUGUUGGCUUAAGUGCCGCAACGAGCGCAACCCCCGUCCUUAGUUGCCAGCACGUAAUGGUGGGGACCCUAGGGAGACUGCCGGCGACAAGCCGGAGGAAGGUGGGGGAUGAUGUCAAGUCAUCAUGCCCCUUAUGUCCAGGGCUGCACACAUGCUACAAUGCCGGCCACAACGGGCUGCGACCCCGCAAGGGUGAGCGAAUCCAAAAAAGCCGGCUAAGUUCGGAUCGUAGUCUGCAACUCGACUGCGUGAGGUCGAGUCGCUAGUAAUCGCGGAUCAGCAACGUCGCGGUGAAUACGUCCCGGG
RNAcentral lists this ribosomal RNA (1019 nucleotides) under uncultured bacterium. Its description in RNAcentral is "bacterial SSU rRNA". It matches the Rfam family "Bacterial small subunit ribosomal RNA", at positions 338 to 1378 of the family's 1533-position model. The record is from RNAcentral.